RNAcentral lists this ribosomal RNA (137 nucleotides) under Salmonella enterica. RNAcentral describes it as "partial 23S ribosomal RNA". It matches the Rfam family "Bacterial large subunit ribosomal RNA", at positions 1 to 136 of the family's 2925-position model. Lineage: Bacteria; Pseudomonadati; Pseudomonadota; Gammaproteobacteria; Enterobacterales; Enterobacteriaceae. The record is from RNAcentral.
GGUUAAGCGACUAAGCGUACACGGUGGAUGCCCUGGCAGUCAGAGGCGAUGAAGGGCGUGCUAAUCUGCGAUAAGCGUCGGUAAGGUGAUAUGAACCGUUAUAACCGGCGAUACCCGAAUGGGGAAACCCAGUGUGA